UUCUAAGCACAAACAUUAUGUCUUAACACGUUAAAACACCUAGAACAACAACUAGAAAAACAACGACAUUUAAAAUUACACUCAACGACAAGUAAAGGAAUCAUUGCGAUAUCGGUUGUGCCUUUUAUCGCCUAUCACAACGCGUAACGAGAAUUACUGCAAACCCGAUGGCCAGAAAAUCACGUGCGUACGCUGAUAUGGCGAUCCGCCGACCAUCCUUAACCGAAGCCGCCCUCUGCUUGAGCCUCCUCAGGCAUCGGUAUCACAGGGCAUUCAGCAGUUUUUUGCUGCCGGUACUCCUCAUCGUCGUCUCUGUCCCCUUCUUGGUCCAUGAAGUCUGCAUUGGGAGCAUUUUGGACCGCCUGCGCAUCCCCCCGCGGCCAGCCUUGCAGCGUUGGCCGAAUGUGUCCGACCUUACAAAAAGAUGCCGACCAUCAUAUAAGAAAUUCCGUUCCGCUGAGUGUAUCUGGAUCCAGCAAGUCGAAAAUCCCCCUGGCCAACCAUCGUCUGCCUGUUGCUACAGCAGGUGCCACCUCCAAAAAUCUGCGCGGUGUAGCGUGCUGGACGUAAAUAUACCGGUUCUCGGUAGAUCCCCGAAGUUAAGCAGCAUGCGUUGCACACGGUAGCUGGAUGGGUGACCGCCUGGAAAGCAUCCCUGCCGACUACAUAACUCUAGGCCAACUCGCUACUUGCUGGUUUUCACCUUUCCAGCAUGCGUGAUUAGAAUUAUGUGCCAGCACUGCUGCUCCCGCAAUCUCGCCUGCAUCUGUGGUCAACCUGAAAGGUUGAGCGAAAUCUGGGCACCUCAACAUCGUCGCCUCCGCCAGAGCUUGCAACAAAGUUCUUGGUCUAAUUCCAGCAGCCGGAACCCAUUAUUUGUCAUAUGUUCAUAGUCAAGCACAGAUAUUAAGUGUUGUGACGCUCUGUGGCCUGUUACUGACCUUAGAGGCGCCAUGACCAGGCGCCAAUAUCUACAGUCAAGAGCACCGUAUAUUUUACAGAAUUGGCAUUUAUUUUGGAAGCGUAAGACAAGCACUGUUUAACUUUAACGUUUGAUUUUCACGCCCUCAGCGCACGAUUUGUCUGAACCAACCACUGGCUGACGCGUAAAACUGGCAGCUAAAUGCACCCUCCCCCGAGCGAUCGGAGAGGCUGCAUUUGGGCUUCCUCUGAGAUGGUUUUCCGACCUCUGCCGAGCAACACCUAGCGUACAGCCACAGUAUUAAUUAAGCAUUUUUGUCAAAGUUUCGUCUGCGUUUUAAUAAUUAACGUAACGGUAAAUAUGGCCAAUAUCGCUAUAGCGUUGUAUUAAUUAAUUAGCAUUUGACAUAAUCAACACGAUUGAAAGCCUUUUUAUAAUUGUCAGAGUCACUUACGUUCCACAUUAUAAAACAUGCAGCAGUAAAACGGAAGUGAAUAAUUUCUAAUUUUCCAUUUGAUAAAUACAGAGAAUUCAAAGAUAAUAACAUAAUUAAUAAAA
Cloeon dipterum is the source of this 1480-nucleotide long non-coding RNA. RefSeq lists it as uncharacterized. The record is from RefSeq and is a predicted model, not a curated record. Lineage: Eukaryota; Metazoa; Arthropoda; Insecta; Ephemeroptera; Baetidae. The transcript is spliced from 5 exons.